RNAcentral lists this long non-coding RNA (2291 nucleotides) under Nicotiana benthamiana. Its description in RNAcentral is "long non-coding RNA (NBEN_LNC006991)". Lineage: Eukaryota; Viridiplantae; Streptophyta; Magnoliopsida; Solanales; Solanaceae. The record is from RNAcentral.
GCUGAUGUACUUAUCGUUCAGAGUACAUAUACAAAUAUCGAGGCCCUACUUACUUACAAAAUAAAUCAUAAACAUCAGGUAAAUUAUGGACUGAACUAUUUUAAAACUACUAAAUCUAAACAAAUUAAAGUUAUAAUCUAAGUGCGGUCCGGCAUUAUUACACAUUUAUUCCUAUUAUAAUACCAGAAAUGCUACUGAAACUAAUAUCGUUUAUAACAUGGCAUCGAUACAUAAAUAAAGGAUCUUCUUCAUUAUCAGUUAUGAUCUCGAACAUGUAUAGCUAUUACUUCCUAGAUUUUGAGUGAGAACGGUACCUGGAAUUACAGCACAAGAGGUUCUAUGAGUAAGGCAAACGUGAGGCAAAUAAGCAACAACAGCCAAAUCUACUAGUUAACCCAGGAACUCAGGAAAUUUGAGAAGAAAAUUAUGAAAACAAAUCUCUCCAACAGCUCAAAAAUGCACAUGCAUCAAUCCAUCUUCCACUUAUAAUGAGUAGAACUUCGAUUAUUAAAGAAGAUUUUGCCAGGAAGAAACUUGAAAUUUAUUUUUUUGAUGAAUGUUAUAUGAAAAUGUAUCUCUCAAUGUAUAUCUCUCUCUAUAUCGAGAAUUAUCUUCUAGCUCUAGAAAAUCCCAAUCCCCUUUAAAAUAAUCAGACGUACCUUAUAACCAAAACUUUAAGACAACCAAAAUCUUUUUGUUUUUUUAGUCCAUUACCCAUUUUUCAUAUUUGCCUAAAUGAUCCUUGAUUUUUUAACUUGUGCCUCAAGUUUUGAGGCAGAAAUAUUACUUGGACCCCUAACUAGAAUGUUCCAGGAGUUUGUUACAAGAUUCCCAUAUUCAAAUACCCACAAUACCCUUGUCCUCUUUUCAUAAUUACUGGCCUAGGUGUUUUGAACUCUGGUACCUAUCUAUUUGGUCAGAAACUGACCCUAGUUAACUACUUCAGUUCAUAAACCAAGAUUAUCAUUAGCACCUAGGAUCAAAUUCUGAAUUGUAUAUUAUACUAUAUUAUGAAAAAGCAAAUGACCAAGGGUAAAAAUUUGAUCAAUGCAACAUAUAUACUCAGACAAAUAUCACUAAAUUGCUCAGAAAUAAUACAAAGCUAAAAAACACAAGUUUCAGAAAUACAGGACACUAAUCAAUUUUAAACCAAAUAUGACCAAUUCUGAGCUCAGCACAAUAAUUCAAACAAGUCAACAAGAACAGACUAUGACUUCAAAUGUUAAGCAGACCAUUCAGAAACAGGUUAUCCAGACUUAAACAAUAACAAACAAGGAAGAAAAUACUCAGGAUAUUUCAAAGAUGAGUAGAUGAAAACUUAAUGUAUUUAAACAAAUGAAAAAUCAAAAGAAAUUAGAAAAGAGAACCGGGAAGAGUAUACAACUCUAGAUGGAAAUACCUACUAAGAAUUUUUCAAAGAUGAACAGAUAGAAAACAUAAUAUACUUAACAAAUAAAAAUAAAGAAGAUCAAAAGCAAAAGAAAACAAGGAUGAGCGUAUGACUCUAGAUGGAAGCAUCUUCUCAGAAUAUCUCAAAGAUGAACUGAUCAAAAACAAAUGUACUUAAACAAAUGAAAACAAAGAAUAUAAAAGUAAUUAGAACAGAAAAUACACAAAAUCACAGCAGUAAAAGCGAAUAAAACAAAGGGAGCUUAGCUUUUUCAGCGUUGUAACCCGAAAAUAGGACUCUUCAAAUCUCAAGGAUCUUCGACCCUUUCUGAGAGGGUUUUUGGUCUCUUGAGACCUUUAUUUCAUUGUUGGAGAAGAAUAGAGGGUGUCAGGCUAGGGCUAAUGGACUUUACGAUAGGGUGAGGUUUCAGAUUCGAUUUUUGGCCAAACCUAGUUUUAUAGGAGGGUUGUUGGUCAUGGGAUUGUGGAUGUAAAGGUGAGAUGGUUAACAGGGAUCAUUUAUGAGGGACUCCGGCAAGUUUAUGGUUUGGGUCAGAACUUUGAUUUGAUAUUUGAAGAGGUCUGUUAGGAUUCGAGGGAUAAAACUUAGAUGGGUGGGGAGAGGGGAACGAGGCGGUUCAGGGGUGUUACUUUGGGCAGGUUUGGGGUUGGUACCGCCGUAGGCGGCGGAGACAGUGACUACUCUUUUGAAUAUUCGAAGGGCUGGGGAGAUAUUUUAGGGGAUCUAAUGGUAGGAGGGGAAAGAGGAGGUUGAGAGGGUUUGGUGGUGUAAUUUUGGGGCCAUUUGGUGGCCGGCCGCCGCCGUGAGGCGAUUUACGGCGGUGGCGUUACGGUGGUUGAAGGCUGAUCUAUGGUGGCUAAGGGGUGGUGUUACACCGGUG